This is a long non-coding RNA of Mus caroli (Ryukyu mouse), 2047 nucleotides long. RefSeq lists it as uncharacterized. Lineage: Eukaryota; Metazoa; Chordata; Mammalia; Rodentia; Muridae. The record is from RefSeq and is a predicted model, not a curated record.
UCAGAAUCUCUGGAAGAACAGCCAGUUCUCCUAACCAGCAAGGCCAUCUCUCCGGCCCCACUUGGAGUUUCUAGAUCAAGGUCAAGUGAGGCCACUCUGGUGCUUCCCACUGCUAUGAAAUGUGGCAUCUGAGAACAUACAAUGUCUGUCAGGGAGUUUGAAGGUCUGCACACCUUGUCAGGACUCGCCCUGGAGAAGUUGAAUCGUCCCACUUACCUGGGAGCUUUCCAGCCAGCUACCCUGACCUCUUGAAGUUCUGGACCCACAGCGCUCUUGUAAAGCAGACAUCCCCGUACAGGUUCCACCACUUGUUGCAUCCACCCUGAGCAGCAGGAAAGACGCAACACCAUGUUGUCCUUCUUCAAGCAGGUUUAUUCAGGAACACUUCGCAUAGGAACGGGAAUCCGCCAAACAACCCCCGGUGCGCCUUAAAUACCCUACUGACUCCUCCCAAUCACCCCAGUCACUUAACGGCAGUCCAUUGGUUCACAGCAAGUGACGUCAGCUUGACACCUCAGGCGAGCUGACGAGGCAUGGCAUCUGCGCAGUGCAGGCGGCUGGGAUGUGGCUAAGUCUGAGGUAAUGAGGAAGUCAGGCGCAGGUCAUAAGACCUGGCAGACGUCCUGGGCUCCAUCUUGGGGCAGCAGCCGCACCUGCUCCUCACAAGGAACCAGUCCAGAUGACUGCAAGCAUCAGGUCCUAAGCAUUAGAUUUAGAAUACCAAAAGAAGAUUCAGUGGAGGACAUGCCUUUACACUUCACGCAAAGACCAUUCCCUGAAUGUGUCUGAUGCUGUUUUGUGUCACCACUGUUGCAGGUCUACUCUGCCAGGAAGACAGAACAUUCCAAGCUCAGAGAGAACCAACCUGGUUCCAGGAAAAAAAACCACUGUUUCCAGGAAAGCAUUGGGAACAAAGGGACAAGGUAGAGAGGCUAAAGGAAAGCAAAGAGGGGACACGAAGAGGCAAAGAGGGCAUCGGAGGAGAGAGCUGGAGCCAAAGGCAGAGGUGAAGGCUCACUGAAAAAGACGACCAGACCACAACAGGCCAUCACCAAGACAGCUCUCCCACCCGCUAGAACCACUGGAGAGCCCUUCCCUGAACCUCUGCUUCUGUGGUGCCCCGCAGAUGGGGACAACUCCUCCCUCCAGACAAUACUUCUCUAGUCUCCACCCAUCCUCUGACCCCAGCCCACUCACCCAAGCAAUAUACAGAUUUGCCCCAGAAAGGCCCUCCUAGUCUCCUCAGCUCCCAGGCCUCAGGUGCUGGCUCCUCCCCACCACCUGCCUUCCCUCCCAGACCUCUCCUAACCCCACUUCUGCCCUGGGUUCUUUUAUUAAGGAGGAGGGGUAAGAGGAGAAGUCUUGAGGACCAGGAAGAAAGAAGAGGUGGCAGGCAGGCAGGAACAUUCUCUCCAAUCCCCUCCUUUCUGAGCCCUCAUGCACUAGAAGACCAGUCCUCAGCCCAGGGUGGAGCUGCUCUCCAUAGCUGUUGGCUUACACACCUCCUGUGAGCAUCCUUGAGAUGGCCUCCCAGCAGGCCAGGCUCCCGGCACUUCCCUCCUAGGGUGCUGGAGCCUUGUUCUGCCAGCUGAACUUUGCAAGUUAGCUCUGAGACACUGAGCCUUACGGAUUAGGACGGGACAAACCUUCCUCAGUCGCCAUAGUAGACAUUUUAGCUGUGCAACUACAGCGUUCCUCCAGGAGUCCUGAAGCCACGUGUGCAGAUCCACACAGAAACCGAUGUGUCUGUGUUUAUUGCCCGACUGUCCGUUAUUGCUCCAAGUAGAAACAAGAUGCCAAGAGGCUGAAGAAAGAGACUCUUCCUCAGUGCAGUGGAGGACCAUCAGCUGUGAUCAGUGAGCUGAUGGCAGGGAGACCACGAUCCUCUUCUCAGGGGCCUGUCCACUUAACGAUUUUGUGUUGGGAUUUUUGCUUGUUUGUUUUGUUUUCAGAGACGAGUUCUCACUCUGUAGCCCAGGCUGAACUCAAACUUGUUAUGAUCCCCCUGUCUCCGCCUCUUGAUUGAUUAAAAUUUUGUGUCACUUUG